This is an RNA transcript of Mirounga angustirostris (Northern elephant seal), 3205 nucleotides long. It is a transcript of the gene named intermediate filament family orphan 1, with no coding region annotated. The record is from RefSeq and is a predicted model, not a curated record. Lineage: Eukaryota; Metazoa; Chordata; Mammalia; Carnivora; Phocidae. The transcript has 9 exons.
UCUGAUUGGUUGCGCCGCGUCCCCCUGGCGCCUCAUUGGCUCUUCUCCCUCGCCCUCCAUCCUUGCUCCUGUAGCGGUCUCCGUCUCCCAGCAGAAGACGCAGCCAUGAAUCCGUUAUUCGGCCCCAACCUCUUCCUCCUACAGCAGGAGCAGCAGGGCCUGGCCGGGCCGCUGGGGGACCCUCUCGGAGACGACCACUUCGCCGGGGGAGGGGACGUGUCCCCGGCGCCGCUCGCCCCGGCCGGCCCGGCUGCUUACUCGCCGCCCGGGCCGGGCCCGGCGCCCCCCGCCGCCAUGGCUCUCCGCAACGACCUGGGCUCCAACAUCAACGUGCUCAAGACCCUGAACCUCCGGUUCCGCUGCUUCCUGGCCAAGGUGCACGAGCUGGAGCGCCGCAACCGGCUGCUGGAGAAGCAGCUGCAGCAGGCGCUGGAGGAGGGUAAGCAGGGCCGGCGGGGCCUGGCUCGCCGCGACCAGGCCGUGCAGACCGGCUUCGUCAGCCCCAUCCGGCCCCUGGGGCUGCCCCUGAGCGCCCGGCCCGCCGCCGUCUGCACCCCUUCGGCGCGGGUGCUGGGCUCGCCCGCGCGUUCGCCAGCCGGCCCCCUCGUGCCCUCCGCGGCCUGCCACUCGUCGCCCUCCACCUCCACCUCCUACUCCUCGUCAGCCCGCUUCAUGCCCGGCACCAUCUGGUCCUUCUCUCACGCCCGCCGGCUCGGGCCGGGACUGGAGCCCACGCUGGUGCAAGGGCCUGGCCUGUCGUGGGUGCAUCCCGACGGGGUGGGCGUCCAGAUCGACACCAUCACCCCCGAGAUCCGCGCGCUCUACAACGUCCUGGCUAAAGUGAAGCGCGAGCGGGACGAGUACAAGCGGAGGUGGGAAGAGGAGUACACUGUGCGGAUACAGCUGCAGGAGCGAGUGAACGAGCUCCAGGAGGAAGCCCAGGAGGCCGAUGCCUGCCAAGAGGAGCUGGCCAUGAAGGUGGAGCAGCUGAAAGCUGAGCUGGUGGUCUUCAAGGGGCUCAUGAGCAAUAACCUGUCUGAGCUGGACACAAAGAUCCAGGAGAAGGCCAUGAAGGUAGAUAUGGACAUCUGUCGCCGCAUCGACAUCACCGCCAAGCUGUGCGACGUGGCUCAGCAGCGCAACUGUGAGGACAUGAUCAAGAUGUUCCAGUCUGCAGCCCUGCCCCCAUCCGUGUGUGUCUGCCUGUCUCUCGGUAACUCCAGUUUCUGUUCCUGUCGUUGUAACUGUGUCUUCUCUCUCUGUCCGCCCCACCCUCCCGCUGGUUCACGCUUCUCCGCCUCCCCUGCGUCCCUCUCCCCCCCCCCGCCCCGCCACCGCCCCGCCGGCGCCCACCCGCCCUUCUCCUCACGCACCCGGCCUCGUCUCUGUAGUCUCUGCACUUGUCUCCCAUUAAGGUCCCAUCCAUGGGGGGGCGGAAGCGGGAGCGCAAGGCUGCCAUCGAGGAGGACACCUCCCUGUCGGAGAGUGACGGGCCCCGCCAGCCCGAUGGGGAUGAGGAGGAGAGCACAGCCCUCAGCAUCAACGAGGAGAUGCAGCGCAUGCUCAACCAGCUGAGGGAGUAUGAUUUUGAGGACGACUGUGACAGCCUGACUUGGGAGGAGACUGAGGAGACCCUGCUGCUUUGGGAGGAUUUCUCAGGCUAUGCCAUGGCAGCUGCAGAGGCGCAGGGAGAGCAGGAAGACAGUUUGGAGAAGGUGAUUAAAGAUACGGAGUCCCUGUUCAAAACCCGGGAGAAAGAAUAUCAGGAAACCAUUGACCAGAUAGAGCUGGAGCUGGCCACGGCCAAGAAUGACAUGAACCGCCACUUGCACGAGUACAUGGAGAUGUGCAGCAUGAAGCGCGGCCUGGACGUGCAGAUGGAGACCUGUCGCCGGCUCAUUACCCAGUCGGGAGACCGAAAGUCUCCUGCUUUCACUGCGGUCCCGCUUAGCGACCCACCGCCGCCGCCGCCAAGCGAGGCUGAGGACUCCGAUCGAGAUGUCUCAUCUGAUAGCUCCAUGAGAUAGGGACCCGCCUCCAGCGCCCUGGGGCCCCACUGUGCUGGGAACUCACCAAGGCAGUGAGGUGGGGGGGUUCACAGAAGGGGAACAUCAUCCGUCCCGCCGCACCAAGCCUUGCCACUGGGGACUGGGGCGCUCCUUCCUCGGGCUUCCUGCCUGUGACCUUGGCCUCCAGGGUUCUAAGGUGUCUGGAGCGAGGCUUAGCCCGCCCGUCCCAGGUGACUCCCACCACAGCCGGGGCUCUCCUGCCUUCAUGCGUGGGUGGCUGCUACUUUCUCAUCUUUUUUUUUUUUUUUUUUUUUAAAGAUUUUAUUUAUUUACCUGAGAGAGAGAGCACAGAGGGAGAGUGAGAGGGAGGAGCAGGGAGCCCGAUGCGGGGCUUGAUCCCAGGUACCUGGGAGCAUGGCCUGAGCCAAAGGCAGACACUUAACGACUGAGCCACCCAGGCGCCCCUACUUUCUCAUCUUUAAAAUGCUGCCAGAGCGAUCGUGGCCCCUUACUUUGUCCACUGAGUAAGGAAUGUGAUCAUCAGAUUUUCCUUCCGUUUCUGUGGCCUCAAGCCAGCUUACGGUCUGAUUCUGUACUGGUGCUAACUGGCCCAGGCACUGGUAUGAAGUGGGUGAGGCUGGACGUUGCAUGGCUUGUGCAACACAUGCUGUGGGAGAGGGCCGCCCCCCCCUCCUCGUGGCGCAGGUGGGAGGACGGCCUGGGCAGGUCGCUCUGUCCUCCCUCCGUCGGCCUAGUGCUCCUGGCCGGCCGUCUGCCCUGGGAUGGAAGCGAUGUGGUGGCCAUCCUUCCCUCGGGCAGUGCCUGCCUUCAGGGGGCCUUAGUGCCUAUCUGGGCAGCUUCUGGGAAUGACUGGGUGCAGCGUCGUGGAGGGAGAUGGAAGCCCCUGCUUGUUUCCAGUCAGCGCUGAGGGGCAGAGAAAAAGGUGAAGCUCCUUGUGCGUGCGUGCAUGCGUGCGUGUGCUCAGGGUCUCCAUCUCUUCAAGCAUCUCAGCUGAAGAUGCGCCUCUUCCGUGUCUGUCAUGCACUGAGAGCAGCAGGCUAAGAUGUCCGGAUUUGGAGAAGCUUGGGGGAACCUGGGGGCGCGCGAAUGAGGACACAUCACAUCAGUCUGCCUGCCUGAGGGAGGCUGGGCUGACAUUGGAAUGGAAUCUUUAAUAAUAAUCAAACUGGAGAGUA